ACGAACGCUGGCGGCUGCUUAACACAUGCAAGUCGAACGGAGUGGCGAACGGGUGAGUAACGCGUGAGCAACCUGCCUAUGACAGUGGGAUAGCCUCGGGAAACCGGGAUUAAUACCGCAUAGUCAUAGAUGGGCUCGCGUCUGAUUAGCUAGUUGGUGAGCUAACAUCCCACCAAGGUGACGAUCAGUAGCCAGUCUGGUAGGAUGAACGGCCACAUUGGAACUGAUACACCGUCCAAACUCCUACGGGAGGCAGCAGUGGGGAAUAUUGCACAAUGGAGGAAACCCUGAUGCAGCGACGCCGCGUGAACGAAGAAGGUAUUCGUAUAGUAAAGUUCUGUCCUAUGGGAAGCAGUACCAUAGAAGAAAGCUCCGGCUAAAUACGUGCCAGCAGCCGCGGUAAUAC
RNAcentral lists this ribosomal RNA (406 nucleotides) under uncultured bacterium. RNAcentral describes it as "partial 16S ribosomal RNA". It matches the Rfam family "Bacterial small subunit ribosomal RNA", at positions 29 to 526 of the family's 1533-position model. The record is from RNAcentral.